Molecule: long non-coding RNA, 634 nt
Organism: Equus caballus (horse)
Lineage: Eukaryota; Metazoa; Chordata; Mammalia; Perissodactyla; Equidae
Source: RefSeq, a predicted model, not a curated record
CCUUUGACCCUGGACAUCUGACCCCAGCCAACUGCCACCAAGGCUACUCCAACCUCCAGUGUGCUAGGAUUCUAGAACAAGCCCAGCUCCAACUGUCACUCUGAGUGUGGCCUGGCCUGGCCUCCCUGAGCCUGUUUCCUCGUCUGGAAAGGGACAUGGACCCCAAGGUGCCACCUCUGAUCAACAGGGAAGGGGGUGACAGGACACUUUGCUGCCUCGCUUACAUGAAGCUUCCAACGUCUGCUCAGGAAGCAUCCACUAAGAAUCCUUCAGGUGGCCAGACACUUCUCCUCAGCCAGCUGGGACAUACGUCAUUGCCAGCUGGGCACUCAGCCUGCAAGAAGCUAAGUCUGGCAGGAUGGACCUGCACAGAAGCCAGAGACCUGCUCAUUGUGCCAGCUCGGCAGCCCCUCCUGGACCAGCCCAGCCAGCACCACCACGUCCCGUGACCAGGGCCCCCUGCCCACAGGCUGCAGCCCGUCUGCCCGUGGACCAAAGAGAUCCCUCCUCUUGCUAAUCUGGACAAGACACACUGGGAUUUUUCAGAGAAAGUUUAAGUGAGAAACUAUCAAACCACACCCUGCCCUGUCCCCCUCCCACACACACUCCUCUCUUUCCAGACCUCCCGCCUCCA